CUACAGAGAGGCCUUCAUAUGAUCUUCCAUAACAUGAAUUGCAAACAAUUCUAUUUAUUGUAUCUACUGGACAUUUACAGAGGCAAAAUCCUAUGUUUAUCACAAUAAAAUUCGUAAGAACUACAAUGGAGACCAAAAAGUCCUCUCAGUGAACAUUUGUGAUUGAAGAAAGAGAGCGUAACUUGUUUUGAUGGACCGCAACUUGUUAACAAAUUAAUUUGCAUGGGGAAUAUCAAGGAUUUUUCGCACAUCCAAGUUUUAGGAUUCAGCUGAUCAGGAGCAUCUCUACAAGACUACUACUCCAUGGCCUUAUCGGUUCAAGUGCUCAUAUUUACUGAAAGCAGAUGUCAUUCUGGACUAUCUGGAAGAUUUACAUGAAGCACCUGAGCCGCAUCGGUUCUAGCCUAGUUGUAUGUGGGCAAGUACAUAAACGAAUUCGAGGUAGUGGCUACUGGGUUGCUGGCUUUAUGCUACAACAAUGUCGAUGUCUUCAGAUCUGCAGGAAACUUGAAGCUAAAACCAAUUUGCGUUGUGCCAUCUAGGAGUUUUCAAACCUCAUGAAGUCAAAGGAAUGGAGUAUCAGGCAAGAAAGCUUGCAUUUUCCCUAAAUACUGAUGAAAGGACGUAGAAAUACUUAUAUCUCUUUAGGUGCUAAUGAAGCAAACAGUCGCCAAAGAUCAGAAAGCAAGGUACCGACACUUGUAAAAGUCAGUUUGGGAUCUCUGUCCUCAUAGUCCUAUGAUUGGGAUUGGAGGGAGUGGAGGGAAAGGGUGACUUAACUGUGAUGGAAGUCUCUGGACUGGGUCUUUAUGAGCUCUUCCUCGGCAUCUUGAUAUGGCGAGGUCGCUUUUACCUAGAAAAUGGUGAAAUACCUCAAAUCAUUCUGAGCUGCUCACUUUGAAGGAGCGACCGGGAUUGCUAUACAUCAAGUGGGCAAACGAGCUGAAGACGAAAAUGAGCCACAUCAUUAUGAUGUUUCUUCUAAUCAGUCCAUUCGAGAAGAGCAAGAGAGAGGCACUAUAUAGUUGGACUUGCUCGCUUCUCUGCUUCAGUACUACGCUGAUUAAGCUGCCUUAUGAAACCUUUAAGGCUAUUGAUCAGGCGGCGAUGAAAUAUCAAAUGUACAAGCUAUUGAUCUCAAUCACCAUCAAUGUGGCAUGGUUUGUAAACUUGUUGGGGCACCAGCUUGUUAACAUAUAUUAGAUUUAUUGGAUUAUUUGAGACAGUAUUGCUUUA
Non-coding RNA from Punica granatum (pomegranate), 1236 nucleotides. The record is from RefSeq and is a predicted model, not a curated record. Lineage: Eukaryota; Viridiplantae; Streptophyta; Magnoliopsida; Myrtales; Lythraceae.